RNAcentral lists this transfer RNA (60 nucleotides) under Hygrobates longiporus. RNAcentral describes it as "tRNA-Lys". Lineage: Eukaryota; Metazoa; Arthropoda; Arachnida; Trombidiformes; Hygrobatidae. The record is from RNAcentral.
CUUUUAGUGGCUGAUAAAAGCAUUGGCCUCUUAAGCCAAAAAAUGGUUGUUCCCUAAAAG